This 101-nucleotide non-coding RNA is filed under the name Marvinbryantia formatexigens. RNAcentral's name for it is "Bryantella formatexigens SAM-I sequence". It matches the Rfam family "SAM riboswitch aptamer (S box leader)". Rfam says of the family: The SAM riboswitch is found upstream of a number of genes which code for proteins involved in methionine or cysteine biosynthesis in Gram-positive bacteria. The SAM riboswitch acts at the level of transcription termination control. The predicted structure consists of a complex stem-loop region followed by a single stem loop terminator region. The record is from RNAcentral. Lineage: Bacteria; Bacillati; Bacillota; Clostridia; Lachnospirales; Lachnospiraceae. RNAcentral also lists the same sequence under 1 other name.
CUCUUAUUCAGAGUGGUGGAGAUACAGAGGGUCUGUGAAGCCACGGCAACCCCGCAUAGACGGAAGGUGCCAGCCUGAGCGAUUAAUUCGAACAAUAAGAG